Molecule: ribosomal RNA, 484 nt
Filed under: uncultured bacterium
Lineage: Bacteria
Description: partial 16S ribosomal RNA
Rfam family: Bacterial small subunit ribosomal RNA
Source: RNAcentral
AUUGAACGCUGGCGGCAGGCCUGACACAUGCGAGUCGAGCGGAUGAAGGGAGCUUGCUCCUGGAUUCAGCGGCGGACGGGUGAGUAAUGCCUAGGAAUCUGCCUGGUAGUGGGGGAUAACGUCCGGAAACGGGCGCUAAUACCGCAUACGUCCUGAGGGAGAAAGUGGGGGAUCUUCGGACCUCACGCUAUCAGAUGAGCCUAGGUCGGAUUAGCUAGUUGGUGGGGUAAAGGCCUACCAAGGCGACGAUCCGUAACUGGUCUGAGAGGAUGAUCAGUCACACUGGAACUGAGACACGGUCCAGACUCCUACGGGAGGCAGCAGUGGGGAAUAUUGGACAAUGGGCGAAAGCCUGAUCCAGCCAUGCCGCGUGUGUGAAGAAGGUCUUCGGAUUGUAAAGCACUUUAAGUUGGGAGGAAGGGCAGUAAGUUAAUACCUUGCUGUUUUGACGUUACCAACAGAAUAAGCACCGGCUAACUUCGUG